GAACUGAAGAGUUUGAUCAUGGCUCAGAUUGAACGCUGGCGGCAGGCCUAACACNUGCAAGUCGAGCGGAUGAGUGGAGCUUGCUCCAUGAUUCAGCGGCGGACGGGUGAGUAAUGCCUAGGAAUCUGCCUGGUAGUGGGGGACAACGUUUCGAAAGGAACGCUAAUACCGCAUACGUCCUACGGGAGAAAGCGGGGGAUCUUCGGACCUCACGCUAUCAGAUGAGCCUAGGUCGGAUUAGCUAGUUGGUGAGGUAAAGGCUCACCAAGGCGACGAUCCGUAACUGGUCUGAGAGGAUGAUCAGUCACACUGGAACUGAGACACGGUCCAGACUCCUACGGGAGGCAGCA
Molecule: ribosomal RNA, 350 nt
Filed under: Stutzerimonas stutzeri
Lineage: Bacteria; Pseudomonadati; Pseudomonadota; Gammaproteobacteria; Pseudomonadales; Pseudomonadaceae
Description: bacterial SSU rRNA
Rfam family: Bacterial small subunit ribosomal RNA
Source: RNAcentral